This 476-nucleotide ribosomal RNA is filed under the name uncultured bacterium. RNAcentral describes it as "partial 16S ribosomal RNA". It matches the Rfam family "Bacterial small subunit ribosomal RNA", at positions 28 to 507 of the family's 1533-position model. The record is from RNAcentral.
GAUGAACGCUAGCGGCAGGCCUAACACAUGCAAGUCGAGGGAAAAGCCUUUCGGGGCAGAAACCGGCGCACGGGUGCGUAACGCGUAUUCAACCUACCUUUCACAGGCGGAUAGCCCGAAGAAAUUUGGAUUAAUACCCCAUAAUAUUGUUGGAUGGCAUCAUCUGAUAAUUAAAACUGCGGUGGUGAAAGAUGGGCAUGCGUCAUAUUAGCUAGUUGGAGUGGUAACGACACCCCAAGGCUACGAUAGGUAGGGGUCCUGAGAAGGAGACCCACCACACUGGUAAUGAGGCACAGACCAGAAUGCGACGGGAGGCAGCAGUGAGGAAUAUUGGUGAAUAGACGGAAGACUGAACAAGCCAUGCCGGGUACAGGAAGAAUGGCUUAUGAGUUGUAAACUGCUUUGGUAUGAGAAGAAUAAGGUGUACGUGUACAUUGAUGACGGUACCAUAUGAGUAAGCAUCGGCUAACUACGUG